Molecule: ribosomal RNA, 456 nt
Filed under: Triticum aestivum (bread wheat)
Lineage: Eukaryota; Viridiplantae; Streptophyta; Magnoliopsida; Poales; Poaceae
Description: partial small subunit ribosomal RNA
Source: RNAcentral
AUGGCGAUGGAUCUGCAGCGUCAGCAGCCGCUCCACCUCGGGUUCCCUGACCCUUCUUCUCUAGGCUGGGCAGAGCAACCAUGGCGGCGGAUCCGCAGCGUCCAUGGCCGCUCCACCUCGGGCAGCGCGGAUCACGGCCAGCGGCCCGAUGGAGGCGGGUACCGGCGCGGUUGCUGUUCUGCCCUGCGCUCCCUCCAUGUCUCCUCCUGCGCCUCCGGUGGCCAGACGCUUCUUCGACUCCGGCCUAGGGGCACCCUCAUCGUUAGCGGAUUUAUAUUUCUCAGGUCAGACAGUGUGCAGCCACACAUGGUCAACAUCCAGUUUCAGAAGAAUGUACUGCUGCAGCUUGUUACUCUCUACAUGGAUUUCAAGUUGGAUGAGAGCUACACACCGAGCAAGAUCUCCAUCUGGACUGGCGACCGCUUCCACAAUCUCAAGGCAAUUCCUCUUUUCUGA